GUAGGGGGCAAGCGUUAUCCGGAUUCAUUGGGCGUAAAGGGCUCGUAGGCGGGGCAUCAAGUCAAGUGUGAAAGCUUUCGGCUUAACCGAGAGAGGUCAUUUGAAACUGGUGUUCUUGAGGGCAGGAGAGGGAGGUGGAAUUCCCGGUGGAGCGGUGGAAUGCGUAGAGAUCGGGAGGAACACCAGUGGCGAAGGCGGCCUCCUGGCCUGUGCCUGACGCUGAGGAGCGAAAGCUAGGGUAGCAAACGGGGAUUAGAGACCCCGGUAGUCCUAGCUGUAAACGAUGGAUACUAGGUGUUGGGGGUAUUGACCCCCCCCCCCAGUGUCACAGCUAACGCAUUAAGUAUCCCGCCUGGGGAUUACGGUCGCAAGGCUA
This 376-nucleotide ribosomal RNA is filed under the name uncultured organism. RNAcentral describes it as "partial 16S ribosomal RNA". It matches the Rfam family "Bacterial small subunit ribosomal RNA", at positions 527 to 896 of the family's 1533-position model. The record is from RNAcentral.